CCGCCCCUCAGUGGGGCAGGCAGGCUGGCGGAAGUGACGUCACGGGAAACGCCAUUAAAUAGCAGUAGGCCGUCCCCUACUCUCUCUCGGCCCUAGCGCCAUCUUCUCAGAAAGCUCUGCGCCAUGAGAGCGAAGUGGAGGAAGAAGCGAAUGCGCAGGCUGAAGCGCAAGCGGAGAAAGAUGAGGCAGAGGUCCAAGUGAGCGGCGCGAGCCCCCGCGGGAGCAGGAACGAGGAGUGCUGCAGGCUGGGGACGCCGGGCGCUGGGACCGCGCGCCCGCGACGACGAGCCCUUGUCGCCGCAUCUGGGGCUUCCACCGCGUGAUCGCCGGGAGCCGCGAUGGGCUUGGGCCUGGCCUACGACCCACACGGUCCCGGUUGAUGGCUUCGACCUGGACCUCUGGCACUCUGGACUGGUUCUGUUCUCGUUUGUGGCCAAGUGUAACUCGUGUACAAUAAACCACCUCUUUCGCUCUCGGCUGGAGAAUCAAAACCA
Molecule: long non-coding RNA, 494 nt
Organism: Jaculus jaculus (lesser Egyptian jerboa)
Lineage: Eukaryota; Metazoa; Chordata; Mammalia; Rodentia; Dipodidae
Exons: 4
Source: RefSeq, a predicted model, not a curated record